UUGUAUAAGCCUGGGAAUGUGCGAGGCCUUGGGAGCUCCAGCAGUGCUGGGCAGAGCUGUCAGCGGUUCUGCCUCCGCUCUAGUGACGUGGCUCUUUCUGAAAGAGGAGAAUUAAUUUCUAAGUUGACCACAAUUGAGGARGGACAGGAGACCCUCAAUGUGAACUGGCAAAGAACUCAGUAGAUCAGAACACAGACACCCUUGCCAUGAGAAAAUCCGAGAUCCAGGAAAGCACAGGGAAAAUGUGUUCCAGAGCCUUUUGAACCAGGUGCUGAGUGAGUCGCUUAAACCAGCGCCUCCUGCGUCCCAUUUCUGGCGCUGCGACCUUGCGCAUUUGGGCAAGUGUGAAAGCCAAAGGAACACGGAGUUUAUGAAUGCUGGAAAAAAUUGGAGGGGAGAAAGAAAUCAAGUCAUGAAUUUUGCACCUACAUC
Long non-coding RNA from Nothoprocta perdicaria, 432 nucleotides. RefSeq lists it as uncharacterized. The transcript is spliced from 4 exons. Lineage: Eukaryota; Metazoa; Chordata; Aves; Tinamiformes; Tinamidae. The record is from RefSeq and is a predicted model, not a curated record.